This 645-nucleotide ribosomal RNA is filed under the name sulfate-reducing bacterium enrichment culture clone 1-0-A3. Its description in RNAcentral is "bacterial SSU rRNA". It matches the Rfam family "Bacterial small subunit ribosomal RNA", at positions 88 to 749 of the family's 1533-position model. The record is from RNAcentral.
AUCCUUAGCGGCGGACGGGUGAGUAACACGUGGGUAACCUGCCUCAGAGUGGGGGAUAGCCUUUCGAAAGGAAGAUUAAUACCGCAUAAGAUUGUAGCGUCACAUGGCGCAGCAAGAAAAGGAGCAAUCCGCUUUGAGAUGGACCCGCGGCGCAUUAGCUAGUUGGUGAGGUAACGGCUCACCAAGGCCACGAUGCGUAGCCGACCUGAGAGGGUGAUCGGCCACAUUGGAACUGAGACACGGUCCAGACUCCUACGGGAGGCAGCAGUGGGGAAUAUUGCACAAUGGGCGAAAGCCUGAUGCAGCAACGCCGCGUGAGUGAUGAAGGCCUUCGGGUCGUAAAGCUCUUUGAUCAGGGAUGAUAAUGACAGUACCUGAAAAACAAGCCACGGCUAACUACGUGCCAGCAGCCGCGGUAAUACGUAGGUGGCGAGCGUUGUCCGGAAUUAUUGGGCGUAAAGGAUGCGUAGGUGGAUAUUUAAGUGGGAUGUGAAAUCCCCGGGCUCAACCCGGGAACUGCAUUCCAUACUGGAUGUCUAGAGUGCAGGAGAGGAAAGCGGAAUUCCUAGUGUAGCGGUGAAAUGCGUAGAUAUUAGGAGGAACACCAGUGGCGAAGGCGGCUUUCUGGACUGUAACUGACACUGA